CAAUAGCGUAUAUUUAAGUUGCUGCAGUUAAAAAGCUCGUAGUUGGAUUUCGGGUGGGAAUGGCCGGUCCGCCGUUUCGGUGUGCACUUGCUACGCCCACCUUGCUGCCGGGGACGUGCUCUUGAGUUCACGCUCGGGACACGGAGUCGGCGAGGUUACUUUGAGUAAAUUAGAGUGUUCAAAGCAGGCCUACGCUCUGAAUACAUUAGCAUGGAAUAACACGAUAGGACUCUGGCCUAUCUUGUUGGUCUGUAGGACCGGAGUAAUGAUUAAGAGGGACAGUCGGGGGCAUUCGUAUUUCAUUAUCAGAGGUGAAAUUCUUGGAUUUAUGAAAGACGAACUACUGCGAAAGCAUUUGCCAAGGAUGUUUUCAUUAA
This 377-nucleotide ribosomal RNA is filed under the name uncultured eukaryote. Its description in RNAcentral is "partial 18S ribosomal RNA". It matches the Rfam family "Eukaryotic small subunit ribosomal RNA", at positions 592 to 976 of the family's 1831-position model. The record is from RNAcentral.